CAAAUAUUCACAAAGAGCAAAGUAUUCUUCUUAGUAUGGCAUUCCUUAAGCUGAGUUUGAUUCUGGCUACUCUUAUCAUGGCAGCCACUAUGAAUGCGCUAUGGUCCUCAAAUACAAAUGUCGUUGCUGCACGGGAUGUUGAUUAUGAUAUUUCAGGAAUCAAGAGGAGGAUAAUGCCGCAACUUAAUACUUGUGGGAGACUUUGUAUUUCAACUGUUGAUUGCGGUGAUUGCAUAAUUUGUUGUACCUGUCGUGCGUCGCCUAUUUACGAUGAAUCUCUAUGUUUCGUGUAGGUAGAGUGCAGUGACAAUGAACUCUAGCUAUUAAAUCCAUAUUACGGAUUAGUGUUUUCAUGUUAAUUUCAACAUUUCCUUUCUUAUUUCUUUGUCUUUGAUACUAUGUACGAAUAAUAAAGAAGUCAAGUGAGUGGCUUUUUUUCUCAAGCAGGAAAUAUCUUGUUUCAUGCAUGUAUGCAUGAUUCAUCGUAAAUUUAUCAUAUGAAAUCUGUGGUAGGUUUCCUUUUUCUAUUCUUUAUUUAAAAGCAGGUAGCUUUCAGCUUUCUUUUUA
Molecule: long non-coding RNA, 567 nt
Organism: Nicotiana tabacum (common tobacco)
Lineage: Eukaryota; Viridiplantae; Streptophyta; Magnoliopsida; Solanales; Solanaceae
Source: RefSeq, a predicted model, not a curated record